Long non-coding RNA from Passer montanus (Eurasian tree sparrow), 380 nucleotides. RefSeq lists it as uncharacterized. The record is from RefSeq and is a predicted model, not a curated record. The transcript is spliced from 2 exons. Lineage: Eukaryota; Metazoa; Chordata; Aves; Passeriformes; Passeridae.
UCUCCUGUCCCAGCUAGCAGCAGACACAUUUCGCUUGCACUUUCCAUGGCUACACCACUUCCCUGUGCUGUUACCCAGAGCUGAGCUAAGGAUUGGGCACCUCAUAUCUCUGCUAUUCCUCAUUAUCCUCGUUCUCCAGGGCCAGCUCUGUGCUCAGAGCUGAGCAGCAUUUACAGAGUGACCUUCCCAAGCCCUCUGUAACGCCCGGCUCCUGCAGUGUUCUCCCAGCCACCGUGGUGGUGUGCAGCUGAGCCAGGAGAGCCCUUAGUCUGUCAGCUUUAUCCCAAGGACUGUGAUGAGCUGGAAAAAUAAUUCUAUGCAAACCUGACAGUACUUACACAGCCUUAUAAAAAUUCAAAUUAAAAAAAAUCUGCCAAUAA